AACGAACGCUGGCGGCAUGCCUAACACAUGCAAGUCGAACGAGACCUUCGGGUCUAGUGGCGCACGGGUGCGUAACGCGUGGGAACCUUCCCUUAGGUUCGGAAUAACUCCCCGUAAGGGGUGCUAAUACCGGAUAAUGUCUUCGGACCAAAGAUUUAUCGCCUUUGGAUGGGCCCGCGUUGGAUUAGCUAGUUGGUAGGGUAAAAGCCUACCAAGGCGACGAUCCAUAGCUGGUCUGAGAGGAAGAUCAGCCACACUGGGACUGAGACACGGCCCAGACUACUACGGGAGGCAGCAGUGGGGAAUAUUGGAAAAUGGGCGAAAGCCUGAUCCAGCAAUGCCGCGUGAGUGAUGAAGGCCUUAGGGUUGUAAAGCUCUUUUACCCGGGAUGAUAAUGACAGUACCGGGAGAAUAAGCACCGGCUAACUACGUG
Molecule: ribosomal RNA, 433 nt
Filed under: uncultured bacterium
Lineage: Bacteria
Description: partial 16S ribosomal RNA
Rfam family: Bacterial small subunit ribosomal RNA
Source: RNAcentral